AGAGCGAACGCUGGCGGCAGGCUUAACACAUGCAAGUCGAGCGGGCGUAGCAAUACGUCAGCGGCAGACGGGUGAGUAACGCGUGGGAACGUACCUUUUGGUUCGGAACAACCCAGGGAAACUUGGGCUAAAUACCGGAUAAGCCCUUACGGGGAAAGAUUUAUCGCCGAAAGAUCGGCCCGCGUCUGAUUAGCUAGUUGGUGAGGUAAUGGCUCACCAAGGCGACGAUCAGUAGCUGGUCUGAGAGGAUGAUCAGCCACAUUGGGACUGAGACACGGCCCAAACUCCUACGGGAGGCAGCAGUGGGGAAUAUUGGACAAUGGGCGCAAGCCUGAUCCAGCCAUGCCGCGUGAGUGAUGAAGGCCCUAGGGUUGUAAAGCUCUUUUGUGCGGGAAGAUAAUGACGGUACCGCAAGAAUAAGCCCCGGCUAACUUCGUGCCAGCAGCCGC
RNAcentral lists this ribosomal RNA (449 nucleotides) under uncultured bacterium. RNAcentral describes it as "SSU rRNA". It matches the Rfam family "Bacterial small subunit ribosomal RNA", at positions 26 to 518 of the family's 1533-position model. The record is from RNAcentral.